NNNNNNNNNNNNNNNNNNNNNNNNNNNNNNNNNNNNNNNNNNNNNNNNNNNNNNNNNNNNNNNCCCGGAUCCCGCCCGGUGCGGGUGCUGGGGGCGGUGCGUAGUGUUGUUUUGUUGAAAAGGACGGUGUGGACUGCACUCGGGAGAGGUGGAGCCGCGCGGCUGCCGGGGACGCAGGGGAGGGGCGGUGGGCGGGGCAGCAGGCGGGUGUGUAUGGGGGGGUGUGGGUGUGUAUGGGGGCGUGUGGGUGUGUGCGGCUGUCCCCCAGCCAAAGGACCUUCCUCCUCCCCGAUUCCCCUCGGGUUGUGCCGGGGCCCGGGGCGGGGAGCUGCUCUGCAGCCGCUCCUUUUGCCUGCUCCCUCCCGCCACCCCUGGGGAGCACAUUUCGGGCUACUGGGGACUCGGGAUUCGCUAACACAUGCGGAGCUGCUGCGAACUUCAGCCCCGGCCACGCCGGCAACCCGCGUCCGAACUUUGGCGACAUCGAUCGGUCUGCGGCUCGACUUUGUCCAUCCCGGGCAGGGAGCGCCGAGCGGGGUCUUGCGCCCACCCGAGGGGUUUGCCUACCCAGGUCUCUGCGGAUGCACUGGAACAUUCUGGAACUGGGAUGGCCCCUCAGCCUUGUCCCAGGUUGCAGCAAGGGCGGCCGGACUUCUGUCUCCUUCAUGAGGCCAUGUGCUCCUCGAGGAUAGGCUGCGUCUACACCUUUCAUGUCCUUGCCCCGGGAAACCUUCCCGCACACGGCGGAUUCUGUUAAUGAUGAUGGUGCGGAAAGGCAGAAGCCCAACUCACUGGAGGAAGGAAGAAAAUACAGAUAUUCUUUGAGAAUCUAAAUCCUUCGUUAACUCUGCGAACUAAUUUUUUUUUUUAAGAAUUUAUUUACUUAUUUGACAGAGAGAAAUCACAAGUAGGCAGAGAGGCAGGCAGAGGGAGAGGGGGAAGCAGGCUCCCUGCUGAGCAGAGAGCCUGAUGCGGGACUCGAUCCCAGGACCCCGGGAUCACGACCCGAGCCGAAGGCAGUGGCUCAACCCACCGAGCCACCUAGGUGCCCCACUCUGCGAACUAAUUUUGAAAAACCUGGAUAAGCCCCCCAUUGUCUACAAAUCUUAUGAAAAAAUAAUUUUCAGGCAUACCAUGUUUUGUUGGUUCAGUAAAAGAGCAAAUUUAAGGAACAUUAUUAUAUUAGUAGUUUUUUCUUUUUUCCUGUCUCCUGUGUAAGAAAGUUAUUUGGGCUUUUGCUUAGGCUAAUGGACUAGUAGGACCAUCAUUAAUGUGAUGGGGUAUUUUAGGCGGCACGAUAAUCGUUUGCUUAGAAACCGAUCUAGCACCUUCACUGACCUCCGACAUGGAGCGACAGUGGGGAGGGACAGGAUGCCAGCCCCUGCAGCCAUAGGAGGGGAGAGCACCCACCCACCCACCCAGAGCCGAUGAGGACCCAGCUGUCAUUUGUGUGAGCAUCUCUAGAACAGGGUCCCUCGCCAGAGCAGGGAGGAUGUGCUGGGUGUCCUGUGCUCUGCAGAAGAGUGGUCUGCUGCGGGGGUAAGUCUGGGCAUCACCGGCCAGCGUUGCUGUGUACUCGUGUCACUCUUGGCUCCGUGUCUCUGGGCAGUUUCCCGUGUUUGCUGAGCCUCAGUCUCCUCACCUGUCGGAGGUGGGUAAGGAUCCCCACUGCACAGGGCUUGGGGGAGACGGAAAUGAGAUUGGGGGGAGCAGGAAGGUGGUGGCCUGGGAAUGUUGGUUUCCACUCCCCUGUAAAGGGGCCCCUGGGAAAGAUCUCCCUAAGAAUGUAGCCUACCACCAUCCCACUCUAGUUAAGAUGAUGUUAUUCUUUUCAAAGGUCGGGAUUCUUAAUUAUAAAUUAAGAUGAGAACUUUUAUCCUAUGCAGUGUUUUGGCUAAAUACAUUUACAGAACUGUUUUGCAGAUUUCCUCAUUUACAAGUUAGAUAGUCCUCAGGGCCUGAACCCAGGGCCAAAGCCAUGUGAACCCCUUGUGAGCCCCGGGGCUGAGGACACAGUUAGACAUGGCCUCUGGCGAGAACUGGAGGGCCGAGUCUGGGUGGGGCUGUGGAGAACCUGGGGGUGCCCCCUUCCCCCACAGCAGACCCAGGCAGGCUCCGCCUGGGAGCCGAACCCCGCACCUGCCUGCCUCUGCCUCUUUGUGCCCCAGAGCCCACAGGGCCCACAGAGUCACUCUGCACAGAGACAGGCCGGUG
Molecule: long non-coding RNA, 2214 nt
Organism: Mustela putorius furo (domestic ferret)
Lineage: Eukaryota; Metazoa; Chordata; Mammalia; Carnivora; Mustelidae
Source: Ensembl